RNAcentral lists this ribosomal RNA (465 nucleotides) under uncultured bacterium. RNAcentral's name for it is "partial 16S ribosomal RNA". It matches the Rfam family "Bacterial small subunit ribosomal RNA", at positions 28 to 507 of the family's 1533-position model. The record is from RNAcentral.
GACGAACGCUGGCGGCGUGCUUAACACAUGCAAGUCGAACGGAAAGGCCCCUUUGGGGGUUCUCGUGUGGCGCACGGGGGAGUAACACGUCUGUAACCUUCCCUUGUCUUCGGGAUAACCUUAGGAAACUGGGGCCAAUACCCGAUAGGAAUCCUUGCUGGAUGGUGGGGGUUGUAAAGCUUCGGCGGUUUUGGAUGGACCUGCGUCUUAUCAGCUUGUUGGUGGGGUAGUGGCUUACCAAGGCUUUGACGGGUAGCCGGCCUGAGAGGGCGACCGGCCACACUGGGACUGAGCGACGGCCCGGACUGCUACGGGAGGCAGCAGGGGCGAAAAUUGCACAAAGGGCGGCAGCCUGAUGCAGCAACGCCGCGUGCGGGAUAACGACCUUCGGGUUGUAAAACGGUUUCAGCAGGGGCGAAGCGUGUGGUGACGGUACCUGCAGAAGAAGCACCGGCUAACUACGUG